RNAcentral lists this transfer RNA (93 nucleotides) under Amycolatopsis taiwanensis. RNAcentral describes it as "tRNA-Sec". It matches the Rfam family "Selenocysteine transfer RNA". Lineage: Bacteria; Bacillati; Actinomycetota; Actinomycetes; Pseudonocardiales; Pseudonocardiaceae. The record is from RNAcentral.
GGAGGCGUACCCGGCCUGGUGGCCGGCGCGGUCUUCAAAACCGUUGAGCGGUGGACACCACCGCUGGCGGGUUCGAUUCCCGUCCGCCUCCGC